Molecule: ribosomal RNA, 505 nt
Filed under: uncultured bacterium
Lineage: Bacteria
Description: bacterial SSU rRNA
Rfam family: Bacterial small subunit ribosomal RNA
Source: RNAcentral
CAGGACGAACGCUGGCGGCGUGCCUAACACAUGCAAGUCGAGCGGGGACAUACGACGGAGUCAAAGUUUCGGAUGGAGACGAAGAUGUAUGUUCUAGCGGCGGACGGGUGAGUAACGCGUGAGCAACCUGUCCCUUACAGGGGGAUAACACAGCGAAAGUUGUACUAAUACCGCAUGAGACCACGGGAGGACAUCCUCCAGGGGUCAAAGGAGCAAUCCGGUAAGGGGUGGGCUCGCGUCCGAUUAGAUAGUUGGUGAGGUAACGGCCCACCAAGUCGACGAUCGGUAGCCGACCUGAGAGGGUGAUCGGCCACAUUGGGACUGAGACACGGCCCAACUCCUACGGGAGGCAGCAGUGGGGAAUAUUGGGCAAUGGGGGGAAACCCUGACCCAGCAACGCCGCGUGAGGGAAGAAGGUUUUCGGAUCGUAAACCUCUGUCCUUGGUGAAGAGGAAGAGACGGUAGCCAAGGAGGAAGCCCCGGCUAACUACGUGCCAGCCGCCGC